Molecule: long non-coding RNA, 220 nt
Filed under: Carica papaya (papaya)
Lineage: Eukaryota; Viridiplantae; Streptophyta; Magnoliopsida; Brassicales; Caricaceae
Description: long non-coding RNA (CPAP_LNC009100)
Source: RNAcentral
AUAUCAAUAGUCAAAAUACUUCAUCUUGAGACUUCCCAAGCAAAGAAAGCCAUUUUAGGGGUGAGAACUGUAAUUUUUCAGAUUUGUCUAAAUGGAGCUGUCAUGUUAUUCCCAUUGUUCCCUUUGGAUAUAAAAUUGUAAUAGGACUUCACCGAAAACCCAUUCUUCUCAUCCAACUUCCAUAUCCUCCUAUCCUUUAGAUUAUCCAUAUUAAUUUCUG